This 352-nucleotide ribosomal RNA is filed under the name uncultured fungus. RNAcentral describes it as "SSU rRNA". It matches the Rfam family "Eukaryotic small subunit ribosomal RNA", at positions 20 to 370 of the family's 1831-position model. The record is from RNAcentral. Lineage: Eukaryota; Fungi.
GUAGUCAUAUGCUUGUCUCAAAGCUUAAGCCAUGCAUGUCUAAGUUCAAGCAAAAAUAACGUGAAACCGCGGAUGGCUCAUUAAAUCAGUUAUGGUUCCUUAGAUCGUACUUACUACUUGGAUAACUGUGGUAAUUCUAGAGCUAAUACAUGCAAAGAGCUCCGACCCUCGUGGAAGGAGUGCUUUUAUUAGAUCAAAGCCAAUCGGAUCUUCGGGUCCGUUCUGUUGGUGACUCUGAAUAACUUUGCUGAUCGCAUGGUCUCGUACCGGCGACGUAUCUUUCAAGUGUCUGCCUAUCAACUGUCGAUGGUAGGUUAUGCGCCUACCAUGGUUGCAACGGGUAACGGGGAAU